CCUAGGGUGGGCAGCAGUGGGGAAUAUUGGACAAUGGGCGAAAGCCUGAUCCAGCCAUGCCGCGUGUGUGAAGAAGGCCUUCGGGUUGUAAAGCACUUUCAGUGGGGAAGAAAGCCUUGGGGCUAAUACCCUCGAGGAAGGACAUCACCCACAGAAGAAGCACCGGCUAACUCCGUGCCAGCAGCCGCGGUAAUACGGAGGGUGCGAGCGUUAAUCGGAAUUACUGGGCGUAAAGCGCGCGUAGGCGGUCUGAUAAGCCGGUUGUGAAAGCCCCGGGCUCAACCUGGGAACGGCAUCCGGAACUGUCAGGCUAGAGUGCAGGAGAGGAAGGUAGAAUUCCCGGUGUAGCGGUGAAAUGCGUAGAGAUCGGGAGGAAUACCAGUGGCGAAGGCGGCCUUCUGGACUGACACUGACGCUGAGGUGCGAAAGCGUGGGUAGCAAACAGGAUUAGAUACCCCGGUAGUC
Molecule: ribosomal RNA, 465 nt
Filed under: Vreelandella stevensii
Lineage: Bacteria; Pseudomonadati; Pseudomonadota; Gammaproteobacteria; Oceanospirillales; Halomonadaceae
Description: partial 16S ribosomal RNA
Rfam family: Bacterial small subunit ribosomal RNA
Source: RNAcentral